UACAGAGGUCCCAACCGUUGUUCGGAUUCAUUGGGCGUAAAGGGUGCGUAGGCGGCGGGGCAAGUCAGGUGUGAAAUCUCGGGGCUCAACCCCGAAACUGCACUUGAUACUGCCUUGCUCGAGUACUGGAGAGGAGACUGGAAUUUACGGUGUAGCAGUGAAAUGCGUAGAUAUCGUAAGGAAGACCAGUGGCGAAGGCGGCGACCUGGGUCGAUACUGACGCUGAUGCGCGAAAGCGUGGGGAGCAAACAGG
RNAcentral lists this ribosomal RNA (253 nucleotides) under uncultured bacterium. RNAcentral's name for it is "partial 16S ribosomal RNA". It matches the Rfam family "Bacterial small subunit ribosomal RNA", at positions 524 to 776 of the family's 1533-position model. The record is from RNAcentral.